GAUGAACGCUGGCGGCGUGCCUAAUACAUGCGAGUCGAGCGAACGGACGAGAAGCUUGCUUCUCUGAUGUUAGCGGCGGACGGGGGAGUAACACGUGGAUAACCUACCUAUAAGACUGGGAUAACUUCGGGAAACCGGAGCUAAUACCGGAUAAUAUUUUGAACCGCAUGGUUCAAAAGUGAAAGACGGUCUUGCUGUCACUUAUAGAUGGAUCCGCGCUGCAUUAGCUAGUUGGUAAGGUAACGGCUUACCAAGGCAACGAUGCAUAGCCGACCUGAGAGGGUGAUCGGCCACACUGGAACUGAGACACGGUCCAGACUCCUACGGGAGGCAGCAGUAGGGAAUCUUCCGCAAUGGGCGAAAGCCUGACGGAGCAACGCCGCGUGAGUGAUGAAGGUCUUCGGAUCGUAAAACUCUGUUAUUAGGGAAGAACAUAUGUGUAAGUAACUGUGCACAUCUUGACGGUACCUAAUCAGAAAGCCACGGCUAACUACGUG
Molecule: ribosomal RNA, 497 nt
Filed under: uncultured bacterium
Lineage: Bacteria
Description: partial 16S ribosomal RNA
Rfam family: Bacterial small subunit ribosomal RNA
Source: RNAcentral